UGCGCGCUUCAUAGCCGAUCUAUAUGCGGAUAAAAACGCUUUCUCUAUCUCCGUGUUCAUCUCUACAGUUGUUUUGGAGGAAAUGAUACACGUAUUUGAGAUAUUCCGCAGUAAUUCUCGUCUUUAGGACCCAGCAGAGACAUCAAACCGGAGUCGCGUCCAGUCUUGUUGAAGGAAGUUGCUAGUUUUCCCAAGAAGUACGGAAUCCGAGCAUUAUAUUAUUAUUGGUUAUUAUUCGCCGCUAGAGGGCGCUGAAUGGAUCGCAACGUGAGAAAGUUAUCCUGGACGAACAGAGCAGAAGCUUGCUACAUCGUCUUUUAUCAGAAGAGGAUUUAUUAUCCAUUUCAAGGUUGCUCUGGACAGAGCGAGCUUUAAUCCCCCUUGAUAAUCUUGUUGAGA
Molecule: long non-coding RNA, 399 nt
Organism: Danio aesculapii
Lineage: Eukaryota; Metazoa; Chordata; Actinopteri; Cypriniformes; Danionidae
Exons: 3
Source: RefSeq, a predicted model, not a curated record